This 755-nucleotide non-coding RNA is filed under the name Thelohanellus kitauei. Its description in RNAcentral is "Eukaryotic large subunit ribosomal RNA". It matches the Rfam family "Eukaryotic large subunit ribosomal RNA", at positions 24 to 664 of the family's 3401-position model. Lineage: Eukaryota; Metazoa; Cnidaria; Myxozoa; Bivalvulida; Myxobolidae. The record is from Rfam by way of RNAcentral.
CGCCGUGAACUAAAGCAUUUCAGUAACGGCAGGAAAAGAAAAUAACCAUGAUUCCCACAGUAACGGCGAGUGAAGUGGGAAGAGUCCAACGUUGAAAGCGGCAUCUGUAACAAGGUGUGGCAUUGUAACGUAUAGACUUGUCAUCGAGGCGUCCGACCGGACUAAAGUCGUUAAGAAUGGCGCACCAUAGAGGGUUGUAGUCCCGUACAUGGUUCGGUAUCGGAUGUCGUGAAUGGCAAAGUCAAAGAGUCGGAUUGUUUGGGAAUGCAGUCCAAAGUGGGUGGUAAACUCCAUCUAAGGCUAAAUAUUACUCCGAGACCGAUAGCAAACAAGUACCGUGAGGGAAAGGUGAAAAGAAUUCUGAGAAGAGAGUGAGAAGAACGUGAAACCGUUAGUGGGGAAGCGGACAAUGUAAUCGUAGUUGUUUGGUGUUUGUGUUUUUCAACUUGUUGUUAAAUUCUUAACGCCGAAUAACGCGCCAGGCUCUAUGCUAAUGCAGCUGGCAGUGUAUUGGGUGGUUCGACAAAGAGUGUUUCUUGAGAAAUGCUCUGUCGGCUGACAGUACAAACUGUUGUAGAGUUGGCGCGGCAUGGAUGUGUGUGCUUGUGCGUUGAAGGUUCGUUGGCGUGUAGUCGGUGCGAUCCCACAAAGUGGGACACAUUGGUGUAGCGUUGGCGUAGUUUUGACGUCUCGACGAAUGUCGCACACAAACUCUUGGCGAGAUAUGACAUUGUCCGACCCGUCUUGAAACACGG